Molecule: ribosomal RNA, 603 nt
Filed under: uncultured fungus
Lineage: Eukaryota; Fungi
Description: eukaryotic LSU rRNA
Rfam family: Eukaryotic large subunit ribosomal RNA
Source: RNAcentral
ACCCGCUGAACUUAAGCAUAUCAAUAAGCGGAGGAAAGGAAACCAACAGGGAUUGCCCUAGUAACGGCGAGUGAAGCGGCAACAGCUCAAAUUUGAAAUCUGGCUCUUUUAGAGUCCGAGUUGUAAUUUGCAGAGGGCGCUUUGGCUUUGGCAGCGGUCCAAGUUCCUUGGAACAGGACGUCACAGAGGGUGAGAAUCCCGUACGUGGUCGCUGGCUAUUGCCGUGUAAAGCCCCUUCGACGAGUCGAGUUGUUUGGGAAUGCAGCUCUAAAUGGGAGGUACAUUUCUUCUAAAGCUAAAUAUUGGCCAGAGACCGAUAGCGCACAAGUAGAGUGAUCGAAAGAUGAAAAGCACUUUGGAAAGAGAGUCAAACAGCACGUGAAAUUGUUGAAAGGGAAGCGCUUGCAGCCAGACUUGCUUACAGUUGCUCAUCCGGGCUUUUGCCCGGUGCACUCUUCUGUAGGCAGGCCAGCAUCAGUUUGGGCGGUAGGAUAAAGGUCUCUGUCACGUACCUCUCUUCGGGGAGGCCUUAUAGGGGAGACGACAUACUACCAGCCUGGACUGAGGUCCGCGCAUCUGCUAGGAUGCUGGCGUAAUGGCUGU